ACGUAGGUGGCGAGCGUUAUCCGGAUUUACUGGGCGUAAAGCGUGUGCAGGCGGGCGAGCAAGUGGUGUAUGAAAGCUCCAGGCUUAACUGGGAGAGGUCGUUCAAUACUACCGGACUUGAGAGCGAUAGAGGUAAAUGGAAUUCCCGGUGUAGUGGUGAAAUGCGUAGAUAUCAGAAGGAACGUCGGCGGCGAAAGCGACUCUCUAGACCGUAACUGACGCUGAGUGUGCGAAAGCUAGGGGAGCAAACGG
Molecule: ribosomal RNA, 252 nt
Filed under: uncultured prokaryote
Description: partial 16S ribosomal RNA
Rfam family: Bacterial small subunit ribosomal RNA
Source: RNAcentral